UGUAUGCAUGACUGUUAGUCUCUUUGGAUAAAAGCGUCUGCUAAAUGGUAUAUA
Molecule: non-coding RNA, 54 nt
Organism: Salmo salar (Atlantic salmon)
Lineage: Eukaryota; Metazoa; Chordata; Actinopteri; Salmoniformes; Salmonidae
Source: Rfam